GCGGAGGAAAAGAAACUAACAAGGAUUCCCCCAUUAACGGCGAGUGAAGUGGGAAUAGCCCAGCACCGAAUCCCUCAGCCUUGCGCUGCCGGGACCUGUGGUGUUUGGGACGACCGCUGUCGUGUUGUUCGGGUGCCCAAGUCCUCCCGAUCGGGGCCUCUCCCACAGUGGGUGUUAGGCCUUUACCGGCACUCGUCGACACGGCUAUGGUCGUCCUCGGAGUCGGGUUGUUUGGGAAUGCAGCCCAAAGCUGGUGGUAAACUCCAUCU
RNAcentral lists this ribosomal RNA (269 nucleotides) under Pseudamussium clavatum. RNAcentral describes it as "partial 28S ribosomal RNA". It matches the Rfam family "Eukaryotic large subunit ribosomal RNA", at positions 50 to 311 of the family's 3401-position model. Lineage: Eukaryota; Metazoa; Mollusca; Bivalvia; Pectinida; Pectinidae. The record is from RNAcentral.